CCUACGGGAGGCUGCAGUAGGGAAUUUUCGUCAAUGGGCGCAAGCCUGAACGAGCAAUGCCGCGUGAACGAGGAAGGUCUUCGGAUCGUAAAGUUCUGUUGAAGGGGUAAAAGAGCGGAGAGAGGAAAUGAACUCCGAUUGAUAUUACCCUUCGAGGAAGUCACGGCUAACUACGUGCCAGCAGCCGCGGUAAUACGUAGGUGGCGAGCGUUAUCCGGAUUGAUUGGGCGUAAAGGGUGCGUAGGCGGCCGGCGAAUUCUGGAGUGAAAGGUACCGGCUCAACCGGUACAGGCUCUGGAAACUGGCGGGCUAGAGAGCAGGAGAGGGCGGUGGAACUCCAUGUGUAGCGGUAAAAUGCGUAGAUAUAUGGAAGAACACCAGUGGCGAAGGCGGCCGCCUGGCCUGUUACUGACGCUGAGGCACGAAAGCGUGGGGAGCAAAUAGGAUUAGAUACCCGAGUAGUC
Molecule: ribosomal RNA, 464 nt
Filed under: uncultured bacterium
Lineage: Bacteria
Description: partial 16S ribosomal RNA
Rfam family: Bacterial small subunit ribosomal RNA
Source: RNAcentral